RNAcentral lists this unclassified non-coding RNA (288 nucleotides) under fungal sp. RNAcentral describes it as "partial internal transcribed spacer region". The stretch from base 1 to 46 matches the Rfam family "Eukaryotic small subunit ribosomal RNA", at positions 1786 to 1831 of the family's 1831-position model. The record is from RNAcentral. Lineage: Eukaryota; Fungi.
AAGUCGUAACAAGGUUUCCGUAGGUGAACCUGCGGAAGGAUCAUUAACACAAUUUUACUGUGAUAAAAUCCGUUGAAUUCUUCUCGAAUUCAAUGGUAUCCACCCCAUUAUUGACGAACUUUUCUAGAUGUUAAAACAUACAGCUAGUCUUUAUGUCUUUAACAUUCUAAACCUCUUUCUAUAUCCACACAAAUUUAAACCCCUUCUACAACAUGUCUUAGACUGAAAUAAUAAUUUUCUAUCAAAAAUUGAUAAAAACAACUUUUAACAACGGAUAUCUUGGCUCUC